GGUUAGUCGGUCAUGAUGAUUAGUCAGCUAGUCAGAUAUGAUGGUCAAUCGGCCAAUCGGCUAUGAUAGUCGGUCAUUUGACAGUUGACCAUUGAUCAGUCGGUCUUGAUGACUCUGCUUCAGCCAUGAUGGUCAAUCAGUCAUGACGAUACUACAUCGGUCAGAUGUUUAAUUUUGAAGAAGUCUCGAAUCGAUCGAAAUUGUUAGGGAUCAAUAGCC
This 219-nucleotide long non-coding RNA is filed under the name Elaeis guineensis (African oil palm). RNAcentral's name for it is "long non-coding RNA (EGUI_LNC013148)". Lineage: Eukaryota; Viridiplantae; Streptophyta; Magnoliopsida; Arecales; Arecaceae. The record is from RNAcentral.